CGGAUUAUUGGGUUUAAGGGAGCGUAGGCGGACUAUUAAGUCAGCUGUGAAAGUUUGCGGCUCAACCGUAAAAUUGCAGUUGAUACUGGUCGUCUUGAGUGCAGUAGAGGUAGGCGGAAUUCGUGGUGUAGCGGUGAAAUGCUUAGAUAUCACGAAGAACUCCGAUUGCGAAGGCAGCUUACUGGACUGUAACUGACGCUGAUGCUCGAAAGUGUGGGUAUCAAACAGGAUUAGAUACCCUGGUAGUCCACACAGUAAACGAUGAAUACUCGCUGUUUGCGAUAUACGGCAAGCGGCCAAGCGAAAGCAUUAAGUAUUCCACCUGGGGAGUACGCCGGCAACGGUGAAACUCAAAGGAAUUGACGGGGGCCCGCACAAGCGGAGGAACAUGUGGUUUAAUUCGAUGAUACGCGAGGAACCUUACCCGGGCUUAAAUUGCAUCUGAAUAAUUUGGAAACAGAUUAGCCGUAAGGCAGAUGUGAAGGUGCUGCAUGGUUGUCGUCAGCUCGUGCCGUGAGGUGUCGGCUUAAGUGCCAUAACGAGCGCAACCCUUAUCUUUAGUUACUAACAGGUCAUGCUGAGGACUCUAGAGAGACUGCCGUCGUAAGAUGUGAGGAAGGUGGGGAUGACGUCAAAUCAGCACGGCCCUUACGUCCGGGGCUACACACGUGUUACAAUGGGGGGUACAGAAGGCAGCUACACAGCGAUGUGAUGCUAAUCCCAAAAGCCUCUCUCAGUUCGGAUUGGAGUCUGCAACCCGACUCCAUGAAGCUGGAUUCGCUAGUAAUCGCGCAUCAGCCACGGCGCGGUGAAUACGUUCCCGGGCCUUGUACACACCGCCCGUCAAGCCAUGAAAGCCGGGGGUACCUGAAGUCCGUAACCGUAAGGAGCGGCCUAGGGUAAAACUGGUAAUUGGGGC
RNAcentral lists this ribosomal RNA (919 nucleotides) under Bacteroides cellulosilyticus. RNAcentral describes it as "bacterial SSU rRNA". It matches the Rfam family "Bacterial small subunit ribosomal RNA", at positions 546 to 1481 of the family's 1533-position model. Lineage: Bacteria; Pseudomonadati; Bacteroidota; Bacteroidia; Bacteroidales; Bacteroidaceae. The record is from RNAcentral.